RNAcentral lists this ribosomal RNA (203 nucleotides) under Staphylococcus pseudintermedius. RNAcentral describes it as "partial 16S ribosomal RNA". It matches the Rfam family "Bacterial small subunit ribosomal RNA", at positions 1 to 198 of the family's 1533-position model. The record is from RNAcentral. Lineage: Bacteria; Bacillati; Bacillota; Bacilli; Caryophanales; Staphylococcaceae.
UUUAUGGAGAGUUUGAUCCUGGCUCAGGAUGAACGCUGGCGGCGUGCCUAAUACAUGCAAGUCGAGCGAACAGAUAAGGAGCUUGCUCUUUUGACGUUAGCGGCGGACGGGUGAGUAACACGUGGGUAACCUACCUAUAAGACUGGAAUAACUCCGGGAAACCGGGGCUAAUGCCGGAUAACAUGUUGAACCGCAUGGUUCUA